UAAGAAAUUAUUUGUUUAAAUUUUAGUAUUGCAUACUGUAAGAGGAAAAUUAAUACUUGUUGUGUUAAAUAGAAAGGAAAGGUAGAAACUAUUGGGGGUUUUUUGUUACAAAAAAAAUUUUAUUGAGUUUUAGGGUUGAGAUGUCGACUUUUCUUAUAUCUGUUUUUUUUUAAUAAUUAGAAAUUUGUUUUUGUGUUUUUUUUUGGAUAGUUCAAGUGGGGCUUGUAGUGUUUGAUUUUUGGAGUUCUGUAACGCAGGAUUUAUUUAAAGAGGUUGGAAUUAUUAUUUCAUUAAUUUUUUGAUGAAUAAAAAAUCUUUUAAUUAGUAUUUUUAGUUUGUGAAAUUUUGGUAUUAAAAUUUAGUUGGAGAAAUCAGUAUUGGGUCGAAUGUUUUUUAAAGACUGAGGUUUUUAAUUUGAAGCUGCCUUCUGCUCUAUGAUUUGUUUUAAAUGGCAGUCUUAGCGUGAGGACAUUAAGGUAGCGAGAUAGAUUGUGCUUUUAUGGGGUUCUUGUAUGAAUGAAGUCUUCGGCUUAUGAUUUUCUUUCUUUUAAGAAGAAUUUUUUUCUUUAUAAAAAAAUAAAGAUAUAAUUAAACAAAGAUAAGUCUUUGGAAAUUUUGUUGUUGGGAUUUUUCUAGGGUAGAAGAUUAGGUAACUAGUUUUACUAUUAAUAAUUAAAAAAAAUUACUCCAGAGUUAACAGGAAAUCAUGCUAGAUAGAGUAGUUAUUGUAUAGUAAGUUUCACAUCGAUGUUGUAUACCUUUUAUUCAAGAGGGGAGGAGGUUUGUGUUUUUGAGACUGUUCUUCUUCUGUAUAAAGGGACUUGAUAUUAGUUUAAUUCAUCGCGAGAUAGAAUUGUUUAUCUUGUUAGUUAUUUAGUUGGAAAAAUGUAUUAGUACGAAAGGAAUUUAGUUUGGGGUUUUAAACUUUUGAAAAAAGUAUUUUUU
This 945-nucleotide ribosomal RNA is filed under the name Pingus sinensis. RNAcentral's name for it is "16S ribosomal RNA". The record is from RNAcentral. Lineage: Eukaryota; Metazoa; Nematoda; Chromadorea; Rhabditida; Quimperiidae.